UACGGAGGAUCCAAGCGUUAUCCGGAUUUAUUGGGUUUAAAGGGUGCGCAGGCGGAGUAAUAAGUCAGUGGUGAAAUCCUACAGCUUAACUGUAGAACUGCCAUUGAUACUGUUAUUCUUGAGUAUAUUUGAAGUGGGCGGAAUGUGUCAUGUAGCGGUGAAAUGCUUAGAUAUGACACAGAACACCAAUCGCGAAGGCAGCUCACUAAACUAUAACUGACGCUCAGGCACGAAAGCGUGGGGAU
RNAcentral lists this ribosomal RNA (245 nucleotides) under uncultured bacterium. Its description in RNAcentral is "partial 16S ribosomal RNA". It matches the Rfam family "Bacterial small subunit ribosomal RNA", at positions 524 to 768 of the family's 1533-position model. The record is from RNAcentral.